Molecule: ribosomal RNA, 405 nt
Filed under: uncultured bacterium
Lineage: Bacteria
Description: partial 16S ribosomal RNA
Rfam family: Bacterial small subunit ribosomal RNA
Source: RNAcentral
GACGAACGCUGGCGGCGUGCUUAACACAUGCAAGUCGAGCGGAGCGGCGAACGGGCGAGUAACGCGUGAGUAACUGCCCCCCUCUCUGGGAUAACAGUUGGAAACGGCUGCUAAUACCGGAUAGUGGGGGAUGACUCGCGUCCUAUCAGCUUGUGGGUGGGGUAGUGGCCUACCAAGGCUACGACGGGUAGCCGGCCUGAGAGGGAGACAGGCCACAUUGGGCAGAGAAACUGCCCGAGCUCCGACGGGAGGCAGCAGUGGGGAAUAUGGCACAAUGGGGGAAGCGCUGUUGCAGCGACGCCGCGUGCGGGAUGACGGCCUUCGGGUUAUAAACCGCUUUCAGCCAUGACGCGGUAGUGGCAGAAGAAGCACAGGCUAACUACGUGCCAGCAUCCGCGGUAAUAC